AUUUUUGCGCAGAGGCGAUAUCAUAGCCAAUGAGGUUUAUCCGAGGCGUGAUUAUUGCUAGUUGAAAACUUAUCCCAAUACCCCGCACAAGUGACGUGAAAUAUCGUUGCUUGAUGCAAUUUGUGACCGUUCUUCGGAAC
RNAcentral lists this small nuclear RNA (140 nucleotides) under Anneissia japonica. RNAcentral describes it as "U4 spliceosomal RNA". It matches the Rfam family "U4 spliceosomal RNA". Rfam says of the family: U4 small nuclear RNA (U4 snRNA) is a component of the major U2-dependent spliceosome. The structure of U4 snRNA from yeast and human has been reported. Lineage: Eukaryota; Metazoa; Echinodermata; Crinoidea; Comatulida; Comatulidae. The record is from RNAcentral.